GUACAAUAAGAACUUCAAGACACUGAGGAAAGAAAUUGAAGAAGACCUCAGAAGAUGGAAAGAUCUCCCAUGCUCAUGGAUUGGCAGGAUUAAUAUAGUAAAAAUGGCCAUUUUACCAAAAGCAAUCUACAGAUUCAAUGCAAUCCCCAUCAAAAUACCAAUCCAAUUCUUCAAAGAGUUAGACAGAACAAUUUGCAAAUUCAUCUGGAAUAACAAAAAACCCAGGAUAGCUAAAGCUAUCCUCAACAAUAAAAGGACUUCAGGGGGAAUCACUAUCCC
RNAcentral lists this long non-coding RNA (279 nucleotides) under Rattus norvegicus (Norway rat). Its description in RNAcentral is "long non-coding RNA NONRATT008043". The record is from RNAcentral. Lineage: Eukaryota; Metazoa; Chordata; Mammalia; Rodentia; Muridae.